Molecule: long non-coding RNA, 1279 nt
Organism: Stegostoma tigrinum
Lineage: Eukaryota; Metazoa; Chordata; Chondrichthyes; Orectolobiformes; Stegostomatidae
Exons: 5
Source: RefSeq, a predicted model, not a curated record
UGAAAAAUGCAUCGAAGGAUCUACUUUCGUAGAUGUUAAAAGUUAAUGAGAUUUAAUGGUGGGGUGGGGGUGGUAGUAAGAGGCUUCAUUGACAGUUGGAGCGGGAGGAAUGGCAAUACCAGAGCGCGAGCCGAGUGUGAAACGGCAGCCCAGAAAUCCCAGUCCUGUCUGGCUCGCGAGCCCAACGGUUGUAACUGUCACACUGGGAGCCCGAGGCUCUCGAGCUGCUGUGUUUGCAGUGCGCAGCUGACAGCUCAAGCUACAAAACAAAAACCCACAGCUCCAGCGCACGCACCGCUUUUUGUUUUGGAAGCGGGGUACACUAAACAUCCGCCACAAAGGUAAACUCUGACUUUGGAAUAGCUGGACAACCUGUCUCCUCCCUGCCUGCCUCUCAUCGGGCGGGUACGCGCUCGACUCUUAAUGCCUGCUUUCACUUGCAAAGAGCAGCCGGCUCUUGCCGUGAGAGUGAAACGGUCGGUUAAUUGGUGCUCUGUGGAGACGGGCGACCCCAUGCAUUUCGGCAGAGUCCUGGGUGUGAUCAGUUCUCAAAGAUUCUUUUCUUCGAGGAAUUUAUUGAAGAGGAGUUGUUUUUCAUUCAGUUAAUCAACGUUAGUAGAUAUGGAGAUCCAAUGCCAGCAGUAUCAUUUUGGAGCUCAAUGCUUUACUCAAUGCCCUCUCUUAAUUUCACACAGCAUGGAGGACUGUCCAGCAAAUGAUACUUAAAGCAGUUGACAGCACCAAAACCCUGGGACAAGCUAAGCAGAGAUAGGCGUGGGAAUUCCUAGAAGCCUGGCACUCCACGAAGAAAGCCAUCAACAAACACUUAGAACUCAAUCCCAUAUACAGUUCCUACGAAGGAAAACUGGAAACGAGGCAAGCCAGCUCAACGGACUCCAGAAUUUAAAAACCAGGCUUUGUCAGAGGCCGCACUGAUGAUAUUAACCAGCAGGGUAAAGAAACAUCUGCGGAACAACAAACCAGCUCGCAUACAAAAUGGAGCUAGACAAUCCUGCUGCCUGGAGACAGGGACCUGAGUUGCCAUGGAAAGAAGCAUGUGGAAGAAGGCUCAGUGUUAUUAGAGGAAGAAUCUGACAAAGCCAUGACAUUGAACAUCCAAUGCCUAAGUUGUAAUAAAGAACUAAAAGCUUGAGCAAUGUAAUUUAAAUUUCCCAUUGUCUUAAAUAAACCUGCUGCUAAAUGGAGCAAUACUAAGGAAACUGAAAUCUAUUUAUUGUACCUCUUUGAAUCUUGGAAAUAAAAAUAAUCAAUGGAUAUG